Molecule: ribosomal RNA, 253 nt
Filed under: uncultured bacterium
Lineage: Bacteria
Description: partial 16S ribosomal RNA
Rfam family: Bacterial small subunit ribosomal RNA
Source: RNAcentral
UACGUAGGCAGCGAGCGUUGUUCGGAAUUACUGGGCGUAAAGAGUGUGUAGGCGGUGCUCUAAGUUCGGUGUGAAAUCUCCUGGCUUAACUGGGAGGGUGCGCCGGAAACUGGGGUGCUCGAGCGUGGGAGAGGAAAGCGGAAUUCCUGGUGUAGCGGUGAAAUGCGUAGAUAUCAGGAGGAACACCUGUGGUGUAGACAGCUUUCUGGACCAUUGCUGACGCUGAGGCACGAAAGCUAGGGGAGCAAACAGG